GACGAACGCUGGCGGCGUGCUUAACACAUGCAAGUCGAACGGAAAGGCCCUUCGGGGUACUCGAGUGGCGAACGGGUGAGUAACACGUGGGUGAUCUGCCCUGCACUUUGGGAUAAGCCUGGGAAACUGGGUCUAAUACCGAAUAGGACCGUGCGCCUCUUGGUGUGUGGUGGAAAGCUUUUGCGGUGUGGGAUGGGCCCGCGGCCUAUCAGCUUGUUGGUGGGGUAAUGGCCUACCAAGGCGAUGACGGGUAGUCGGCCUGAGAGGGUGUCCGGCCAAACUGGGACUGGGAUACGGCCCAGACUCCUACGGGAGGCAGCAGUGGGGAAUAUUGAACAAUGGGCGCAAGCCUGAUGCAGCGACGCCGCGUGAGGGAUGACGGCCUUCGGGUUGUAAACCUCUUUCGGUAGGGACGAAGCGCAAGUGACGGUACCUACAGAAGAAGCACCGGCCAACUACGUGCCAGCCGCCGCUGUAA
RNAcentral lists this ribosomal RNA (478 nucleotides) under uncultured bacterium. RNAcentral's name for it is "partial 16S ribosomal RNA". It matches the Rfam family "Bacterial small subunit ribosomal RNA", at positions 28 to 523 of the family's 1533-position model. The record is from RNAcentral.